This 892-nucleotide ribosomal RNA is filed under the name uncultured archaeon. RNAcentral describes it as "bacterial SSU rRNA". It matches the Rfam family "Archaeal small subunit ribosomal RNA", at positions 1 to 873 of the family's 1478-position model. The record is from RNAcentral.
UUCCGGUUGAUCCCGCCGGACCCUACUGCUAUCGGGAUAGGACUAAGACAUGUUAGUCGGGCGUCUCUAAGCCAUGAAAGAGACGCGGCGUACGGCUCAGUAGCAUGUGGCUAACCUAACCUAAGGACAGAGACAACCCCGGGAAACUGGGGCUAAUCCCUGAUAGGCGUGGACUCCUGGAAUGGAUUCACACCCAAAGAGCAUUUGAUUCAUGCUUCAGAUGUUGCCUUAGGAUGGGGCCGCAACCGAUCAGGUCGUUGGCGAGGUAACGGCUCACCAAGCCUAUAACCGGUACGGGCCGCGGGAGCGGUAGCCCGGAGAUGGACACUGAGACAAGGGUCCAGGCCCUACGGGGCGCAGCAGUCGCGAAAACUUCACAAUACGCGAAAGCGUGAUGGGGCUAUCCCGAGUGCCAUCCGCUGAGGAUGGCUUUUCUCCAGUGUAAGGCGCUGGAGGAAUAAGGAGAGGGCAAGCCUGGUGUCAGCCGCCGCGGUAAUACCAGCUCUCCGAGUGGUAGGGAUGUUUAUUGGGCUUAAAGCGUCCGUAGCCGGCUCAGAAAGUCCUCCGUUAAAUCCAACGAUUCAAUCGUUGGACUGCGGGGGAUACUCUUGGGCUUGGGGACGGGAGAGGUCGACGGUAUUCUCGGAGUAGGGGUGAAAUCCUAUAAUUCCGAGAGGACCACCAGUGGCGAAGGCUGUCGACUGGAACGAGCUCGACGGUGAGGGACGAAAGCUGGGGGAGCGAACCGGAUUAGAUACCCGGGUAGUCCCAGCCGUAAACGAUGCGGGCUAGGUGUUAGGGUGGCCACGAGCCAUCUAGUGCCGCAACGAUGCUUUAGCUCGCCUGUCUGGGUAUUACGGUCGCAUGGCUGAACUUAUGGGUAUUGGCUGGG